RNAcentral lists this ribosomal RNA (301 nucleotides) under uncultured bacterium. Its description in RNAcentral is "partial 16S ribosomal RNA". It matches the Rfam family "Bacterial small subunit ribosomal RNA", at positions 509 to 808 of the family's 1533-position model. The record is from RNAcentral.
CAGUCGCCGCGGGAAUACGAACCGUGCGAACGUUAUUCGGAAUCACUGGGCUUAAAGCGCGUGUAGGCGGAUUGGUGCGUCGGUGCCUGAAAUCCCCCGGCUCAACCGGGGAACGCGGCCCGAAACGACCAGUCUGGAGGGACGUAGGGGGAACUGGAACUUCCGGUGGAGCGGUGAAAUGCGUUGAGAUCGGAAGGAACGCCCGUGGCGAAAGCGAGUUCCUGGACGUCUGCUGACGCUGAGACGCGAAAGCUAGGGGAGCGAACGGGAUUAGAGACCCGAGUAGUCCCUGUCUCUUAUA